GCAACUCUUUAAGAAAGCAGGAGAGGAAGAGGGAAAGAGCCUCCUGGUGAAUUCAUAGCCUCCGAGGGGUGGAUUUGAACUGCCCCCAAUGACAGAGAAAGGUAAAGAUGCCUGGAUGAGGCUGCAAAGGUGACUUACUUUAAUGGGACUUAAACUAUACCCAGAUUAGUGUGCAUAGGAUUGCAGCUUUGAUGUUACUAAUCUUAAUAUAACCUAGUUUGUUCCUAUGCUUAAAAACAUUCAAAGAUCCCUGGAGCAUAUUUCAUAAAUUGGAGCCUUCUGCAGAUGCAACCGCUGAAUGGUUUGUGGGAGAAAAACGAAAGGGAAACAGAAAAAGUGAAGAAAAGAAAGAAAACUACUAACCAAAGUCAAGAGAUAUAAUAGCAUCUCCGGGUGUUGGUGCCAAUUGUGCCAGUUCUUCUGGUUCUUCCUUCAACU
Molecule: long non-coding RNA, 438 nt
Organism: Sceloporus undulatus (fence lizard)
Lineage: Eukaryota; Metazoa; Chordata; Lepidosauria; Squamata; Phrynosomatidae
Exons: 3
Source: RefSeq, a predicted model, not a curated record